Molecule: ribosomal RNA, 404 nt
Filed under: uncultured bacterium
Lineage: Bacteria
Description: bacterial SSU rRNA
Rfam family: Bacterial small subunit ribosomal RNA
Source: RNAcentral
UGGGGAAUAUUGGACAAUGGGCGCAAGCCUGAUCCAGCCAUGCCGCGUGAAUGAAGAAGGCCUUAGGGUUGUAAAGUUCUUUCAGUGGUGACGAUGAUGACGGUAACCACAGAAGAAGCCCCGGCUAACUCCGUGCCAGCAGCCGCGGUAAUACGGAGGGGGCAAGCGUUGUUCGGAAUUACUGGGCGUAAAGGGCGCGCAGGCGGCGUCGCUAGUCAGGUGUGAAAUCCCCAGGCUCAACCUGGGAACUGCACUUGAUACUGCGAUGCUAGAGUUCGGAAGAGGGUAGUGGAAUUCCCAGUGUAGAGGUGAAAUUCGUAGAUAUUGGGAAGAACACCAGUGGCGAAGGCGGCUACCUGGUCCGAUACUGACGCUGAGGCGCGAAAGCGUGGGGAGCAAACAGG